This 440-nucleotide ribosomal RNA is filed under the name uncultured bacterium. RNAcentral describes it as "partial 16S ribosomal RNA". It matches the Rfam family "Bacterial small subunit ribosomal RNA", at positions 338 to 795 of the family's 1533-position model. The record is from RNAcentral.
CCUACGGGAGGCAGCAGUGGGGGAUAUUGCACAAUGGGGGAAACCCUGAUGCAGCGACGCCGCGUGAGUGAAGAAGUAUUUCGGUAUGUAAAGUUCUAUCAGCAGGGAAGAAAAUGACAGUACCUGACCAAGUAGCCCUGGCGAACUACGUGCCAGCAGCCGCGGGAAUACGUAGGGGGCAAGCGUUAUCCGGAUCUACUGGGGGUAAAGGGAGCGUAGACGGUUGUGUAAGUCUGGAGUGAAAGCCGUGGGCCCAACCCCGGGACUGCUUUGGAAACUGUGUAACUAGAGUACAGGAGGGGCAGGCAGAAUUCCUGGUGUAGCGGUGAAAUGCGUAGAGAUCAGGAGGAACACCGGCGGCGAAGGCGGCCUGCUGGACUGAAACUGACGUUGAGGCUCGAAAGCGUGGGGAGCAAACAGGAUUAGAUACCCGGGUAGUC